UACGUAGGGCGCAAGCGUUGUCCGGAAUUAUUGGGCGUAAAGAGCUCGUAGGCGGCUUGUCACGUCGAUUGUGAAAGCCCGAGGCUUAACCUCGGGUCUGCAGUCGAUACGGGCUAGCUAGAGUGUGGUAGGGGAGAUCGGAAUUCCUGGUGUAGCGGUGAAAUGCGCAGAUAUCAGGAGGAACACCGGUGGCGAAGGCGGAUCUCUGGGCCAUUACUGACGCUGAGUAGCGAAA
Molecule: ribosomal RNA, 235 nt
Filed under: uncultured bacterium
Lineage: Bacteria
Description: partial 16S ribosomal RNA
Rfam family: Bacterial small subunit ribosomal RNA
Source: RNAcentral